CCGCGCGCGGGCGAGCUUUCUCAUCACGGCGUCGCGGCGCACGCACCAGCGGCUGAUCCGCGCCGUCGAGGAGGCGACCAAGGGGCUGCCGCGCAUCCUAUGGGACGGCAAUGGCCCCAAUCCUUAUCCCUU
RNAcentral lists this unclassified non-coding RNA (132 nucleotides) under plant metagenome. RNAcentral describes it as "partial contains 5.8S ribosomal RNA, internal transcribed spacer 2, and large subunit ribosomal RNA". The record is from RNAcentral.